GGUGCUUGCACCGAGAUUCAACAUGGAACGAGUGGCGGACGGGUGAGUAACACGUGGGUAACCUGCCCUUAAGUGGGGGAUAACAUUUGGAAACAGAUGCUAAUACCGCAUAGAUCCAAGAACCGCAUGGUUCUUGGCUGAAAGAUGGCGUAAGCUAUCGCUUUUGGAUGGACCCGCGGCGUAUUAGCUAGUUGGUGAGGUAAUGGCUCACCAAGGCGAUGAUACGUAGCCGAACUGAGAGGUUGAUCGGCCACAUUGGGACUGAGACACGGCCCAAACUCCUACGGGAGGCAGCAGUAGGGAAUCUUCCACAAUGGACGCAAGUCUGAUGGAGCAACGCCGCGUGAGUGAAGAAGGCUUUCGGGUCGUAAAACUCUGUUGUUGGAGAAGAAUGGUCGGCAGAGUAACUGUUGUCGGCGUGACGGUAUCCAACCAGAAAGCCACGGCUAACUACGUGCCAGCAGCCGCGGUAAUACGUAGGUGGCAAGCGUUAUCCGGAUUUAUUGGGCGUAAAGCGAGCGCAGGCGGUUUUUUAAGUCUGAUGUGAAAGCCCUCGGCUUAACCGAGGAAGCGCAUCGGAAACUGGGAAACUUGAGUGCAGAAGAGGACAGUGGAACUCCAUGUGUAGCGGUGAAAUGCGUAGAUAUAUGGAAGAACACCAGUGGCGAAGGCGGCUGUCUGGUCUGUAACUGACGCUGAGGCUCGAAAGCAUGGGUAGCGAACAGGAUUAGAUACCCUGGUAGUCCAUGCCGUAAACGAUGAAUGCUAGGUGUUUGGAAGGGUUUCCGCCCUUCAGUGCCGCAGCUAACGCAUUAAGCAUUCCGCCUGGGGGAGUACGACCGCAAGGUUGAAACUCAAAGGAAUUGACGGGGGCCCGCACAAGCGGUGGAGCAUGUGGGUUUAAUUCGAAGCAACGCGAAGAACCUUACCAGGUCUUGACAUCUUUUGAUCACCUGAGAGAUCAGGUUUCCCCUUCGGGGGCAAAAUGACAGGUGGUGGCAUGGUUGUCGUCAGCUCCUGUCCUGAAAAGUUUGGGUUAAUUCCCCCCACCAAGGGCACCCCUUAUUAAUAAUUUGCCACCAUUUAAUUUGGGCCUCCUA
This 1100-nucleotide ribosomal RNA is filed under the name Lacticaseibacillus paracasei. Its description in RNAcentral is "bacterial SSU rRNA". It matches the Rfam family "Bacterial small subunit ribosomal RNA", at positions 64 to 1141 of the family's 1533-position model. Lineage: Bacteria; Bacillati; Bacillota; Bacilli; Lactobacillales; Lactobacillaceae. The record is from RNAcentral.